CCUACGGGAGGCAGCAGUGAGGAAUAUUGGUCAAUGGGCUUACGCCUGAACCAGCCAAGUCGCGUGAGGGAAGACUGCCCUAUGGUUUGUAAACCUCUUUUGUCAGGGAGCAACUCCGGCUACGUGUAGCCGGACUGAGUGUCCCUGAAGAAAAAGCAUCCGCAAACUCCGUCCCGGCGGCCGCGGUAAUACGGAGGAUGCGAGCGUUCUCCGGAUUUAUUGGGUUUAAGGGGUGCGUAGGCGGAAUAUCAAGUCAGCGGUAAAAAUUCGGGGCUAAACCCCGUCGUGCCGUUGAUACUGGUGUUCUUGAGUGGGCGAGAGGUAUGCGGAAUGCGUGGUGUAGCGGUGAAAUGCAUAGAUAUCACGCAGAACACCGAUUGCGAAGGCAGCAUACUGG
This 397-nucleotide ribosomal RNA is filed under the name uncultured bacterium. Its description in RNAcentral is "partial 16S ribosomal RNA". It matches the Rfam family "Bacterial small subunit ribosomal RNA", at positions 338 to 732 of the family's 1533-position model. The record is from RNAcentral.